AAACCAUGAUAUGGAUAGCUCCUUAGUAAAUCCUUAAAACGUUCCCAGUAAUCAUACAAGGUCUCAUUCUCUUGCUGAAGAAACCUUGCUAUGUCAUUCCUCAAGUU
Molecule: non-coding RNA, 107 nt
Organism: Ricinus communis (castor bean)
Lineage: Eukaryota; Viridiplantae; Streptophyta; Magnoliopsida; Malpighiales; Euphorbiaceae
Source: Rfam